RNAcentral lists this unclassified non-coding RNA (420 nucleotides) under uncultured fungus. RNAcentral describes it as "partial contains small subunit ribosomal RNA, internal transcribed spacer 1, and 5.8S ribosomal RNA". The stretch from base 1 to 73 matches the Rfam family "Eukaryotic small subunit ribosomal RNA", at positions 1759 to 1831 of the family's 1831-position model. Lineage: Eukaryota; Fungi. The record is from RNAcentral.
GCAAACUUGGUCAUUUAGAGGAAGUAAAAGUCGUAACAAGGUUUCCGUAGGUGAACCUGCGGAAGGAUCAUCAAAGAAAAAAAUAAGUGAAAAAAAAAUUUAUUUUUUUUUUCACAUUAUUAUUAAUUUUUUCUUUUCUUUUCUUUCCCCUUGCCUCGUUUUUGAAUUAAAAUGAAGUUGAGGAAGAAAAGGAAGAAAAAGAUAACUUGUUAAUUUUUCUCUCUUUUUUGUCUUGUGGUGUAUGAAAGAUUUCUUCUUUUAAUUACCCAAGACCUCUUUCCCCUUAAUGUAUUGUGCAUUAAGGGGAAUGUCAUUAACUUUCAAAUGAGAAUUUUCCUUGUCUGAAAAAAUAAUUUAUUAUAUAAAUUAACAACUUUUAACAAUGGAUCUCUUGGUUCUCGCAUCGAUGAAGAACGCAGC